GGUGUGACCAGAGGCAUUGCAAUCCAUACAGUGAUACAUAUGGGAGUUGAGAAACAAUUUGCAGAAUCCCCUUAAUAUAUAGUCUAAAUUAUGCUGCUGCUUGGCUACUGCUGUUAGCUCUAACUGCAUCUACUUCAAGACAAGGAUCUUUCUUUCCGUCCUCAGAAAAAAAGACAACUAUUUUUUAAGGAAAUUCCAUCACAUUUUUCCAUUGCAGAGCUUUAAUACCAAACCAGAGAACAUACUAAUUUUUCAUAUGGGAGACAACAAGCGUGGUAAGGAAUUUAAUUUAGCACUGCCCAAAGUCUGGCACACUUUAAAUAAUUGAGCAGUAACUCCUCAGAGGGGUGCAGCAACAGACGAGCGCUUUUUUUUUUCCUUGAGCCCUCAUAGCACAAACACAUCAGUUAGGGAUGUGUUUUGUUAUAACAGAUUUUGUGUUCAGACAGCACGAAAGUCUUAGAAUGAAGGAGGUGAGUUGGUCUGCAUGUUGGAAUUGAUUAAAACAUAUCAUCUUUCUGUUAAGGAAAACACCAACUACAUUUGCUCAUCUGCACAACCUACACCCAGCUUAAGCAAAGACAAUCUAGACAGCAAAGGAGAAUUCCAAAUCGGAGAAUAAAUCUGUCAUCUUGCUCUUUCAAAUUUCACCCAGCCUCAAUUUGUUGAAGUACAGCUUCUCUAUCAGAAUUCCAGAACUGCCACCCUUCCAGAACAGCAGCACUCAAACACCUAUGGUACUGUUACAGAAGGAAAAAUUAGCACAGUAAAAAGGCAAUACAGGAGCAGAAAAGCAAAAGAACAAACGGGAAAGCAACGCUCACCCACUUCAGGAUCUAGGCUCACAGGGAAAAACUCCAGAAGGGAGGGAUCUCCAACCACAGAGAUCCUUCCCUGGCAGCAGUCAGCCCUUAAAUGCCAUCUAAGUGAGGUGCAGCCAGGCUCCACCCUUCCUGUCACACAGCUGAAUUGCCUUCACCUGUGCUCUCUGGGCUGACCAGGUCCUUUCCCCAGGUGAUCAAUCAGUGCUUCGGGCUGUGACUCAACAGUUACCAUACACACUCCCAGCAAAUUUAGUGUACAUUUUCACUUUUUAUUUUGUCAACACUUCAGGCAAGCAAUUAUCUUGUCUGUAUCAAGUUACCUGUCUUUAGAGAACUGUUUUUACGUAGGGUAAAAUACGAAGCUCACAAAGCAACAUUUUUCCAGCAGAGCUUGGUUGGGACUGGAUUAUUACCGCACUUUCUAAUCACCAUGAAGUCCAGUGCAAAGCAGACCAAUACUUCUACGGAAAGGUAAUGUUGUGAAUGCUUGUACACAAGUCCUGUGUCAGGGUGCUUUGUGCAUGCAGAAGAAGACCUGAACGCAGAACUAAGGAAGGAGACAGCUGCAGCUAAGAAGGGAAUAUUCCCUCAUCACUGUUCUCCCGCUUUACUUUGUGCGGGCAUCAGAAGUCUGCCCAAAAGGUGACAUCUCAGCAUACGCCUUUGCCACGGUGACUAUAAGGGUGGUCGAUCUCAACAACUGAAAUUUCAUGGAGAAAGCGGUUCCCAGAACAGAUUUGAACCAAUCAUAUGGGAGCAUCCCCAGAGGGUGAAAUCAUAAGAGGAUUUAAGAUGACAGUCUAUAAUUCAGACCAGGUAUGUGCGAACUGCGUGAGUUUUCCUGCCCUGUUUUCCCAAAAAUAGAAAGGGACACCAGAGAGACAAAUGUCAGGCCUUUGUUUUUUUUGGAACACACACUGGAACACAUGCACUCCUAGAAAGCUUAGGGCAAGCAAAAUACUUGCCAGGACCGUUGCCACAGAGAAUUUAGACUCUAAGGCAUAUUUAGUUUGUCAUACAUCAUUUAGUCUGACCAUUAUGUCAGAGAGAAGAGCACCAGUCCCAGAUCUGCAGCCCACCUCUUGAGGACCUCUGAAAUUGAAAAGUCUUCAUGCAUUUCCUUUGUCUGUUGGUUAUGUUCAGUUGCUGUCAGCAUAAAGUCUGGGAACAUAUUCCCUUUAGAUAACUACUGAAGCCCCAAUUGCUUUAGCAACUUGAAGUGCUUUAAGUUUCCGUCCAUACCUUUCAUAAGCCCUCUGGAAGCAAUUCCAUCCAUGCCUUUUCACAGUACAUAUGGCAGCAUAUUAUCCUUCUAGAGCUUAUGUUACAACCAGAGUCUGUAAUUCAUGCUUUGAAAUAUCAUUCCCAUUGGAGUUAUAUUUUUAGGUCAUCUUAAAAAUUAUGCCAGCACCAAACUAACUGAUCAAAAGGAAAAAAAAGACAACUUCAUCCAUCUCAGUCCAAUAACUAGCUGACUUCUGCCAUCCAUAGACAUUAUUGUGACAGUCACUAUAGGCAUCCCUAAGCUGAAUACCACAGGAAGGGCAUCUGUCCAAAGAUGAUGGAAAGAGCACUCUUAUUCAACCAUUCUCAGUAUUGCGCUGUUUUGACUGUGCUGUAUUCUAAGAAAACCACCACCUUCUUCCACCUCCCUCCAACUGCUCUGCAGCAAGCAGAUAAACAACUGCUUUCAAAGCAGCACUGCGUCUAUCUCACUAUUGUCACUGAAGAUGUUUCUACAGAAGAAACUAAACCUCUUUUAUUUGGAGACCAAACAUAUAUGUAUCACCUAGACUGGCAAAAUACUCAGGGCCACAAGUUAGGCUAUAAAAUAGGCAAAAAAUACAGCUAAUUGUUCAGAUUUCACAAGAAGCUUCCUAAUACAGGAUAAGAUACCACUCUAUGAGGAUUGGGUUGCAUAACACUACAAUAGGAUGGAAACUACCUGAUAAUAGUAGGACGAUAAAGUCUUUAGCUAGAGCAAACAAGGAGAAGCCCAAACGCAACAGCUGCAGACGUAACAAAGGAAAAGAGCUCUUACCUUUAAAAUACUUACAUAGUUGGAAGGGACAUCCAGCAAGAAAAACCCUUACUCCCCACUGCCAAUCCUUAAAUGAGGUCUGGGAAGGGGUGGAUCCUGGCUCCAGCCACUCAGGUCACUCACUUGCAUUGCACGCACCUGGGCUGGCCCCGCCUUCCCACCAGGUGCUCAAUCAGUAGUUGAGGCCCUGAUUUAGCAUUUCCAGUCAGGCUGAUACAGUUUCAGGGAUCAGAAAGCAAUGUUUUUCCCCCUAUAAAGACUUACGUCUCUGUAACAGUCAUCAAGGUCUCUAGUGGUGCAGGCGAGAAGGAAGCCGCGAUCACGGCCUAAGAUUUGAUGGAAAUGCCAUCUUGCAAGAACAUCACACAGAAAUUUCUCACUCCGCUCUCUUUAGCCAGCAGAUGCCACUAAAGGCCUGGUGUGAUCGUGCCUUCCAUUGCUCCUCUGUCCCACGGCUAUCUGCUUUGCUAUGUGCAACAGGGCUUACUCCGUGCAGAUCCAGGCUGGGCUGAUAAUACUGUCAAAAAUCACCGAGCCUUUGAAGGGAGGCUUUGAACUCUGAAGGCCAACCGUCCUGAGCGUUCAAAGCAUCUUAUAUAUUUAAACUUUACGUGGGGGAAGAAUGGAACUCAACACUUAUUUGACGGCAUAACAAUCUGUAGUUUCCUCCAUCUGCUUUCUGGAAGUGCAGGCUAAGAAUAUCCUGACACGUCGGUCUUGCGUAGACCGUUCACAACCCAGCAGUGAUUUUCCAGCAUGACAAAGUUAACUUGUUCUAUUCUUCAAAUGUGGAUAUAUUAAAAGCAGCAGUAAGUGGAAGUGAAAAAACCGCAUGAAUUCUCACUGCUUAAGUCAGAGUACUGGCUUUAUCUUGACACAUUUCUUUGAAUAAAAUAGCAACCUGAGGAGAAAGCACUCAUCAUUGACUAAUGUUUAUGAACAGGUCUUUCCUACAGGGAAACCUUUAGUCAGUUGCUACUAAAUAUCCAAGAUACCAGAACAGUCUGAGUUAGGAAUACCAAAUGUAAAACUGGAAGCUCGAUUUUAAAAAAGUAGGUUAUGUGCCAUUACUGGACAAGGGGUCUGUUAUUUAUCUAAAUUUCUAAAUAUAACUGCUCACCUGCAUACUCAAAACUCAAUCGAACAGUUCCUAUAGCCUGGCACCAUUAGCAAAAUGUAGAAAAAAUCAAUACAAUAGCUUUUCAGAUAUGGAAGCGCUGAUGAAGUGCACUCAGGGUUUAAGCUUUUUGUUGUUGUUGUUCAAUACCGAAAUUAAAAUUCAAAGUUCAAAUUCUUAUAUUAAAAUAGGAGCACGAGGACGUAAAUCCAGGGAGACAGCAGCAAAGCAUAGGAACAAAAAAUGAGAAAGAACCCUUCAGAAUUAUUCCUUUAUAUAUAAGUCUCCCUGGUAAGUCAGUCUAUGUUGAGAAAGGUGAUUAAAGCCAUCUGAUACGUACGCCUAUCUCUCCCUAUUCUCUCAUUCGCAACUCCAGCCCCUGUCCAAUAAACAUUCCCCGUCAGAACAAGCAAAACUAUGGAGUUACAUUAAGCAACAAAUUUCAAGUGGAGACAAAGAGGGGAGCUGAGAAGCUCAGUUUAAAGGCCAUAUUUACUCCCUGUUCAUUUUUGUCUCCGUUUUCCUUCCUAACCAGUCACAUAAUAGAAGUAUUUUCUGGAGACAUCGUUGUCAUCUGUUCCUCUCUGCUGUAUGUUUCGCAUGAGUAUUUGUUUUUUGUUGUUUUUUUUUGUUUGUUUUUUGUUUAUUUGCUUUUUUUUUUUUUUUACAAAUGCCUUGGUUUCCGAAAGCGUCCAAAACGCUGUUGCACAGUCACUCUUCCCAUGUUUUGUAAACCAUCUAAUUUAAAGAAAUAAAGGAACUCCGCUCUAUCCUUUGUCGAAGCACAUCCAUUACUGUAGGAAGGGCUGUACAUCAUUUGUUGGAAUCGCUCUAUUCCAACAAAUCAGCAAAAUAGCGAACAUAAGGAUUCGCUCCGUGAGGAGUCAUAGAUGUGGCUAGAGUCAGCGUGAGAUAAAAACAGUCAAAUGAUAAAGGAUGGUACUAAAGAAACAAAUGUCAGCGGUUUAAACGUGCUCAAUGGUAUGGCUGAAUCGUAUUUGGUAUCGAACUGCUCUCAAAGGGAGAACACUUAAAGGCACUUCUCAUGCCACAGCGAGGUCCGGUUGAUUUGUCAUGGCCACAACUUGUCAUAAGUUAAAAUUGCCUGAUCAAUGGAAACAGAACAAAUUGUCUUAUGUUGUUAAAAAAGGAUAGGCUGUGUUUAACUUUUCAAAAUGAGGAUGUCUGAAUUUGUUUUAUUCCUUUUUUAGAAAUAAAAAAUGAGACCGGGUUGAUAAACGGUAAUUUAUUCUUCCAUCAGUUUCUUCCUGAGAAAACACUUGCAGUUUAUUUUUUUUUUAGAUAGAUGUGCAGGCAGGCGAUCAAUCAGAGCUGAUGAACACACACACAAAACCCUACGAAGGAGUUUCCCUUCACUUGUAGAUUACCUUUGUCUUUCAGAAUUAGAAAAAUUCAUCAUUAACCAGUUUGAAGAUGCUACAGCCCAUUCAAAGAGGAAUUGCAGUCGGUGACGUUUUAGGUAGUUUUGCUUUAACAAGGAAUUACCGCAGCAAUUUGAAACGGAGCCGAGAAAACAUAGUUCAGAAGCUUGCUCCUAGCGCUCGUAUAGUCGUCAAUAAGACACGCUCUUUGCAAUUUAGGCAAUCCACUGUGAAACCAUCUUGCAUUUAUUAUACCAAAUUGCAGGUGUUUUCAUGAGAAAGUUUAGAUAUAUCAGUAGUUUAAAAGUAGCUGCGGGCAAUAGCCGUCACAGACAUUCCACGCCAACAUUUCUUUCAAGACCUUGUCAUUAUGACUGCGGAGUCAGAGGGACUGUUUUCUACUCGUCCACACAGCUGCAUUCAGGGCAGAGACAGAAAGCAUACAGCGAGGCCUCCAAAAACGGAGGCUGGGGAUGUUCUUUGGAAGGGUGUCGGAAGUGAUCCGUUCAAAUCACGUGCAAUUAUUUGACUUAUUAAUGAAUUCAACAAUGACGUGCGAAGAGAAAGCGCAUAACAAACUGUACCGAAGUGCAUUUUCAGUCCCUAAGUCAGAUCUAGAGCCCAAGCGUCUAACCGUCAGGAUCCCCAGCCGGUCCGAGCGAGCCCUGCCCGCGCUAACGAGGCAACGACUCGCAGGCGCGGCGGAGCCGCGGCCGGCCGGCCACAGGCGCGCCUCGUCGGCAUCCCGGGGCGGGGCCGCCCCGUCUCUUAAGCUCCGCCGGAGGCCGUAAGGAGCCACGAGAGAGCUGCUGAGGUUUGCUGCGUGCGGGCGUGGUCUGCGUUCUGUCGCCCAGUUCUUGCGCCGUUGGGGUUGAAUGGCGGUACGAGGGGCUGUUCUUAACGCGAGGCCUCGGGAUUCUAUGCGACGUUCUCUGUUGUGUCGCUUUGUUUCAGGCCGCAGUGGGAUUUCACGCGGCGAGGAUCAGCCCUAAUCGGCUGUGCGGGGGUUGCAGCGGAACUUUUUCAGCCCGAACAGGCGAGACGGUGGAAACGAUGAGCGUUUCUGAACCACCCUGCGUGUCCUCUUACUUCUCUCGUGGAGACACAGCUGGACAGCUUUCAAAACUGGAAUGCUGUUUUGGAUGAGACGUUAUAUUUUCUUGAGAAGGAGACCAGCAACUAUGCAGCAGCAGCGGCAUUUGGCAAGAGAACCAGGAGAGACGAAGAAUCGCUGGAGCUCUGGGGAGGCUCUCAAAGUAAGCCUCCAUAGGGUACUUAACAUCACAUAGGUCACAAUGCAGAUUCAUGGCAGGAAGUUAUUGGUUAUCAUAGAAGUCAUAUUCUCUGGCUUCGUUGUGAAAUAAUUUGAGUUAAUGCGAAGUGAAUAAAAGUACUCACAGCCACUGAACACUCACUGUCUUCUAGAUGUAUUCCCUCACGCAAACUGAUCCUCUCAGUGAUGGGAAAAGACAGUUUCUCAUUUCUAGACUGUCAUUUUUGUACAAUUUCAGUCACACUCAAAAUGAUAUUCUAAACUAAGUUAGAAGCCUUGAGGGAGACCUACUUAUCUGCUAUCUUUUACUCCCACGGAGACAGACAAGAAGUGUGGUUCUGUUUUUUUCUGGCAGUACAAUCACGGCUAGGGCAAAGCUGAGAGCAAUGUUAUAUUGCUCUGUUUCUUUCCAGCUUAGUGGCUGUGUGUCUGUGAAUGCGUUCAGAUGCUGCGGUGAGUUAGCUGCAGCUAACAGAUGUGCUCCCAUCUGACCUUUCUCUCUGUGCACCUCUUCAUUGGAAACUGAAGCUAGAAAUCUCUGGGCAACAGAAGAAUGAGGAGAUCGCUUACCAGUUCUGUUGUGAGAAAAAAGAGACUUGCCUUGGGAAAAUUAACUGGCUAUCAAUUAAAAGAAAAAUUACUGAUUUGACUGAUAAGAAAUAAUAAUAAUAAUAAUAGUGAGCUUUGGGAAAACAAUUUUUUUUUUUUUUCUCCCCCUUUCCCAUGCUUGAUAGUAAAAAAGGUCCUCUGAGGACCUUUCUAUUAUUGACACAGUUUACACUCAGACCCUUCUGUGAUGGAGCAGGCAGUGAAAGAUUACGUCCCAGAUUCUUUCAGCUGUUCUUUCCCUUGACAUGCAGAAUCAAACUCCGUAACCCAAGUAAGAUUACAAAGCAGGUACUGUUUAUUCA
Molecule: long non-coding RNA, 7548 nt
Organism: Tympanuchus pallidicinctus (lesser prairie-chicken)
Lineage: Eukaryota; Metazoa; Chordata; Aves; Galliformes; Phasianidae
Exons: 3
Source: RefSeq, a predicted model, not a curated record